This 72-nucleotide transfer RNA is filed under the name Rhipicephalus microplus (southern cattle tick). RNAcentral describes it as "tRNA-Glu". It matches the Rfam family "tRNA". From Rfam's summary of the family: Transfer RNA (tRNA) molecules are approximately 80 nucleotides in length. Their secondary structure includes four short double-helical elements and three loops (D, anti-codon, and T loops). The record is from Rfam by way of RNAcentral. Lineage: Eukaryota; Metazoa; Arthropoda; Arachnida; Ixodida; Ixodidae.
UCCGGCGUGGUCUAGUGGCUGGGAUUCCUGGCUCUCACCCAGGAGGCCCGGGUUCGAUUCCCGGCGUCGGAA